UACGUAGGCAGCAAGCGUUGUUCGGAAUUACUGGGCGUAAAGAGUGUGUAGGCGGUGCUCUAAGUUCGGUGUGAAAUCUCCCGGCUUAACUGGGAGGGUGCGCCGGAAACUGGAGUGCUCGAGCGUGGGAGAGGAAAGCGGAAUUCCUGGUGUAGCGGUGAAAUGCGUAGAUAUCAGGAGGAACACCGGUGGCGAAGGCGGAUCUCUGGGCCGUAACUGACGCUGAGGAGCGAAAGCAUGGGGAGCGAACAGG
RNAcentral lists this ribosomal RNA (253 nucleotides) under uncultured bacterium. RNAcentral describes it as "partial 16S ribosomal RNA". It matches the Rfam family "Bacterial small subunit ribosomal RNA", at positions 524 to 776 of the family's 1533-position model. The record is from RNAcentral.